AUUGAACGCUGGCGGCAUGCCUUACACAUGCAAGUCGAACGGCAGCACGGGAGCAAUCCUGGUGGCGAGUGGCGAACGGGUGAGUAAUAUAUCGGAACGUGCCCAGUCGUGGGGAUAACGUAGCGAAAGCUACGCUAAUACCGCAUACGAUCUAUGGAUGAAAGCGGGGGAUCGCAAGACCUCGCGCGAUUGGAGCGGCCGAUAUCAGAUUAGGUAGUUGGUGAGGUAAAGGCUCACCAAGCCGACGAUCUGUAGCUGGUCUGAGAGGACGACCAGCCACACUGGGACUGAGACACGGCCCAGACUCCUACGGGAGGCAGCAGUGGGGAAUUUUGGACAAUGGGCGCAAGCCUGAUCCAGCAAUGCCGCGUGCAGGAUGAAGGCCUCGGUUGUAACUAGCUUUUGUUACGGUAACGAAACCGGUAGGAG
This 429-nucleotide ribosomal RNA is filed under the name uncultured bacterium. Its description in RNAcentral is "bacterial SSU rRNA". It matches the Rfam family "Bacterial small subunit ribosomal RNA", at positions 30 to 462 of the family's 1533-position model. The record is from RNAcentral.